This 23884-nucleotide long non-coding RNA is filed under the name Capsicum annuum. RNAcentral's name for it is "long non-coding RNA (CANN_LNC013846)". Lineage: Eukaryota; Viridiplantae; Streptophyta; Magnoliopsida; Solanales; Solanaceae. The record is from RNAcentral.
CGCAUCUUUCCAUCUCAUCAACAAUGUGCCUACAAAACAUGAAUAUUAGUCCAUUCAAUCACAAUUAUGUCUCAUUUAUUCAUUCAAAACAUGGUAAUGUGCAUGAAUGUUGAGUGAAAAUGAGUGGUAAAAUCACCUCCUAUCAACACCCGCAACUUAAAGCUUUGCUUUUCACAAAAAACACUACCCCAUAUCACGAGACAUUACACUUUUAUGCCCAAUUUUCAUGACUCAAAGAUCACAAUAACUUCAAGCUUAUUCACUACCACAAGUAGCUCAUUGCACAUGGGGUAAGCUAUUCUUACUAUACCCCUCAUCAUAAAAUGUAAUAUCUAGGGAUGCAUAAGACUUUAAAGAGCAACCAAGCUACAACAACCAAUACUCUAGUGACUCACUUUUGACCAAAACUAAGCUAUACUCCAUUUACCUCAUUGCUCGAAAGAUGACAAAAUCACCUACCUCAACUCGUUCACAUGCCUCCUCACAAGAAAGAAAAUUCCACAAACCAAGCUACCAAAUAUGCAAUAAGGAAUUUAAGUGCAAAAACUCUCUCACACAAAAGAGCUCUCUAUGUCAACAAGUGUCAUAGGCUUUCACUUAUUUUCAAUCACCACUAUAGAGAAAUUAAAUGGUUGAAGAUCUUUGAGCUCGUAAUGUAGGUUCAGGUUAGGGUAGGAUAUCAUUUGGGAACAACAUGGCUACACCCUUCCUUGAACAUCAACAUCACACUAUUUAAUCCGCCUUUUUGACUAUGGGUCACUCCUCUUUGAUCCUUUCUCUUUUCAUGCCUACUUUUUGCUUCCUUUGUUUACCCAUUUUCUUCUAUUUCUUUUUCUUGCAAUUUUCAUGCAAUUUAUUUCUUUGUUGGAACCAUUCUUUUUCUAUUUAUUUGUUUUCAAUUCUUAGCACUUAGGCAUUUCACUUACAACUUCUUGGCCCCAUACUUACUUCCAUCAAACUUCACCACCCUUAACUUAGGAUUUUAGCCUCAAGUUGCAUUUUCAAGUUCAAGGAGGGUAUAGUUCAAAAGAAGGAUAGAACGAAUGGUUCACGACUUGUAAUGUGUUUGCCAAAUAAAGGUCUAAAGGCUAAAAGUGGGUAAUUAGGGAUACCAUUUAUUUAUGGAUAGUUUUUUUAGGAUAAAGUGGGUGUCCAAUGUAACAAUAAUGGCCUAACAUCCUUUCUCCAACCAAAUAUAAUCAAAAUUAGCUCUGAGAGACGAACGAGGCAAGUUCCAGAUAACACAAGUAUACAAGAGAUGAAAGCAAAUAGCUCACCACAUAUGGCAUGCAAAAUUCUCAAAGGAGGCUCAAUUGCCCAUCUUGUUAGAGACAAAAUUGGAGUAUCUAUCACUAUUAACAAGUCAAACAUUUAUAGAGUCACAAAAAGAGAAAUAGUUUUAUUAAAAGGUUGAUCACAUCCAUACCCUUGAUUUUUAAAAAAAAAAUUGGACGGAGGGGGUUGUUUUUUUGCAUUUGUACCACACUCAAUUUGCUAACUUACAGCUACAACCAAAGCUUUAGCCACACAUUUUAGCUUAAUAUGGGAAAACCAACCAUAUGUCUACUCAGACUUUGUCAAUGGUGCAUAAUGGGAUACUAAAUUUACAAUGCCAUAGGUACUCAGACUUCCCUUGCAUUAAUGAUUUAGAUGCCACGAGUACUCAGAAUUCCUCUAAAAACCCAAACACGAUGCUUUACCCUUAAUAAUGUCAUCACUCAAUCUAUUAUAGGACAACGCUCAUCACACAUCAUCAUAAUCAAAAUAAAAUAAAAGUAAAAAGAAAAACUAAAAAUAAAACUACAUAAAAAUCUAUAAAAAUAUGGGCUCCGUCAGAAUGCCCAAAUAUAGCAUCCCAAAACAAAAUAAAAAUAAUAUCCACAUUGUCAUCACAACAACAUAACAUAUCAAACCAAUACAAAUAGGGAAAGGCACCCCUUAUAGAAAGGCAAGCAGUAUCCCCACUGCAUAAUCAAUAAAAUAGACAAAACAUAAGGGUCCUUCCCGAAUCAGCAUUAGGAGAUGCUCUCUCCUGCUGACUCUGCACCAUCACCACUAGCAUCAUCAGUUGACCAAUCCAUAGGGGCCUCAUCAUCACUCUUCAACCUAGGUAAAGGUAGUCGAUCAUUGGGUUUGAGCACCUUGAAGAUACCCUUUACCCCUUUCCACAACUUUCUGAAGAAUUUAUCUUUCUUUUUCUCUCUCUUCACUAUUUUAUCAUACAACUCCUUAAGGUCCCUAUGUGAUACAGCCAAGGCUAAAUAAUCUCUCUCCAAGCUGGCAAUUGUGGCUCCUUGAUUCUUCUACUUUUUUGGUUAAUCUCAUAAUCUGGCUGAGCAACAUAUGAAUGGCGACUAUUGGAGGGUUCUCUCGGUCCCUAAGGCAAUCUGGACAAUAGCUCCCUAACCACCCGCAUAUGACUUAAGAUGUCAUUGAAGGGGUUGGCUGACGAAGGUCUACAAGAGUAUGUGUCCUCCUGGAUCGAUUUUCCUAAGUCCACCUUCUUUUUCUUACUUUGACUAGGGGCACCCUCACCUCAAAAUUUGAGUGAGAAGAUGUGGGUGCCUGGGUGCCCAGGUACCUACAGAAUACUCCUCCACCUCUGCCCUCUUGCAAAGCCCAGUGAUAAGGAAAGGAAAGAGAAUAAGUGUACCUCUCUGGCUCAUAUGAUUAUGCCUAAUGCUCAUUAGCAUAGUAGGGUUCUGGGGCAAAACACAUCUACCCGGUAGCUGUGAGUUUGGCAUGGAAUCUUGGGAGUUUUUCGUCCACUUUAUCUAGGAAAAUAUCUCUUUUUGGGAGUAAUUUCAUCCUAGAUAGAUCAACAUAAUAGAGGUUUUGGUAUUUAGCAGACAUAAAUCUGGUAUUGUCAAAGUCUCCUAUCUUUGCCACCUAGUACCUGUAAGUAAUACAAUCCAGACCAUCACUAGCAUGUCACACCAAAAUCAUGCUAGAUUAAUCAGAUGAACUUAUAUGGUAGUGUUAUAGAAGGUUUUGGGGGUGAGAAAUGGGUGUGCCGAAAUUUUGGUUUCUGCAGACAACUGCCAAGUAUGGAAAUCACAGAGCAAUGUCUGUGAUCAUAGUAACGCAAUCGCGGUCAUCGGGACCGCAAUCGCUGUACCUAAGAUCAUAGUCAAUAGUUCUGUACAUCACUUAAAAAACAUAAUUUUAACCCUAAAUUUGUGUUCCAACUAGGCACGUCAACAUCAUAAUCAGAGAAAUUAAGCUUAGAAUGCAUGAUUAUAGCCCCAAACUCGAAAGAAUUCAUACUGAACUCAUUGGGGAAUUGAAUCGAACACAUGGAGUACACACUAAGUUCUAUAGUUUUAGGCCUAAAUUUGGAUACUCAAGACUUCCCCAUUGGUAUGUACACCAACUACAACAGCUAACAACCACAAUACUCAUAAAUAAGCAUUCAUUUUGUAUUGAAAAUAAUACUUCAAACCUUUCCCUAAACUACAAGCUCUAAGCAUAAAAUUAUACUAAAAUUAAGGGAGUUGAGAGAACAUACCAAAAUAGAGGAUACAAAGGAUUGAGAUGAACACCUGGAUACUCUAUAAAAUGUUAAAAAAUUUGAGAGAAUUUGAGAAAGGUGUGUGUGAAUAAAUGGCAGUUGAAUGGUCAUUUAAGCUAAUUAAACCGCGAUCGUGGUCCUAGUUCUGUGAUCACUGCCACGCAGCCUCCAUGAUUGUGGAGGCACAAACUGUGCCCUUGGUAAUUGAGACCAAAAAUUAGGUCUCCUGCACUUCUCUGUUUAGUCCUAACAUGCUAAUUUCACAGUUUUCUUUUUCGAUUUCAAUCAAAAUUCCUCAUAGCACUACCUUUUCAUUGAUUAUACAUGAACAAAUAUAAAAAUAAAAUCUAUUCUAUCAUGCAUAAAAUAAAAGAAUAUAGGCCACUUUUCGUGGCUUGAUGGGGUCCUCUCAUUGAGCGCUUAGUUUAACGUUUUGCCAUGAAGCCUCCUCCACUUCCUUUUGUGCUUCCACUUAGAAGAUUUAAAUAUCCAUCCCAAUUUUCAUUCACUAUGCAAUGAGCAAUAAAGGUACAAAAUAUUUAGAUCUUCUAAGAUAAAACUUGGAAGAUGUGAGGAAGUAAUAAGGGAGCUUCUAUCUCUAUUUUGAGGGCUUGAACCUUUUACCCAAUUUCACAUCAAAUUUUUGAUUUGGAUCCUUGGGUAAAGAUGAGAACAUCAAUAGGACACAAGGUAUACAUCAGUAGUUGAGGUCCUUGGCCAUUGAUGGUAGGGCUUCCAUGUGCUCUUUUAGAGUGUCAAAUCCCAAAAUAUAGUAUCCCAAAAUGUAGGAAUAGUUCUCCUUCUCCCCAUAAUCCAUCAUUUACCUAGGUGGAUGGAUUCUCAUCACAUCCUCUAAGAAUAAUGUUGAGAAGUGUUUUGAAUGAGGCCUAACCCCUAAUUCUGGGGUUGCCUCCUUCGAAGCACCUUUACCCCAAAAUGAACUAGAGUUAUCAUAAGAGAUGUGCUUUGGUUCUUCUCUUGACUCUAGUAUUAUUUCCUUUAUUUUGAAAUCAUCAACAUUAUUUGAUUCGGUUGAUUGGGAAAUCACCGAGGAUUCUUCGCUGCCAAGAUCAUCAUCAUAGCUUGGUUUGUCUUUUUUAUUAAUCUUCUCUGGGAAAUGGGCAAAGUAGUGGUAUUUGCAAGUUCUGGUUCCUUUUCCAUUUCCUCCAUCUUGAUAAUUUCCCUUCCAAAUGCCUCAUAGAAUUGAUGCAUGUCUUGCACAUUCUCCCCCGUUGUAGUUACCCGUUCCAAACUAGUUUGAAGCAUUGCUUCAAAACUAUUAUACCUGGUAUAUUGCUCUUCCUUCUUCUCAUCAUAAUACCUAUCAAACUCAUAACAAGAACUAGAAACUCAGAUAGCAUAAUAAGGGGAGGAAGAAUUUGGAUAAUCACUCCAAUGUCCAUCUCGACCACAACAUAAAUAACAGCCAUACUUCUAAUAGGAUCGAGAUGGUAAUUUCAUCUCUCUCCGGGGAGCAUAUUUACAAUAUCUUCCAAAGUGGGUUCCAUCACAAUAUGAACAUAGAUCGUCAAGAUAGGACUUCCAACUACCAAAAUCAUAUUUGUCAGAAGAUGACAUAGAGAAAAGUAAAACAAAACAAAAAUCUACCUAACACAAGAAAUAAAAGAAAAUCACAAAAAAUAUUUACAAUUUUGAAUUCAAGCAAGUAAGCGAGAAUUCCGAACUAACUUAAUAUGCCAAAUUAUUCUCCAAUAAUGGCAUCAUUUUUUACAACGCUCAACUUACACGUCAAUUUAAGUUCAAGGCAAUCGUCGUUAAUAUAUAUACCCAACUUUGGAGUCAGGGUAGAAUCCAUGAGGAACAAUGUGAGUAGCGACUAAAUUAGUUCAAAAUUAUAGAUACUAGCUAAACUCAAACCAAUAGUACAAAAAGAUAAAAAUGGGGGGUUUGAAAGGUAUCACAUUUAAUAUUUCUUUUUGGUUUUUUUGAGUACAUUGGGGAUACGAAUACUUAGAGUCUAAAUAAUUAGGCACGGAUCUUGGGAUUAUGCUUUCUUAGGGGUAAAAUAUGAGUGGAGACAUAAUAAUUUGAUGCAUGUUCUAAUUGAUGAUGAUGUGGUAGGCUAGGUUAUAAGUACCUGGUGCUAGUUUGUCAACAUAGCCUCAAAUAUUUCACUCAUUGACUCUUUUGAGUAUCUAAUGAUUGUCUUAAACAAAGUUACCCAAUACCUUAAUUAGGCAUCCCUAUUUCUAGGAUGAUACCCAAGGAAUAGUCAACUUCACAAUCACUCUUAUGUCUAAGUGAAAAUUUAGCAAACUAGGCCAACAAUUAUCUACUAUUGCUUUGGUUCCUACAUUCCUUUUUAUAAGGAUGAUAUUGGUUCCUAAUAUUCUCUCAAACUCUUCUUUCAAAGAUAGAUUGAGCUUUCAAUAGCUUAGGCUUUUCACCUACAAACCCAUUUAAGUAUUUGGGGUUUUCACCCAUAAAUCCCAACCAAUUUUAUCAAGCAACAAUAGAAACCAUCAAUCAACACAUGAAUAUAUACACAAAUAAAUCGCAACCCAUAUGCAAUUGCACCCUAUUCUAGCAUAAUCCCAAGAGGAAAACUAGCUACUCAUAAGAUAAAUAAGUAAAGAUUUUACCCAAAAUAUCCAUUGAUUUGAUUUGAGAAAAUCUUAAUUGAAUGUUACUUCAAACUAUGAGAUCCAACAAACCUUCAAUGGGAGUUCACUAAUUCUUUACUUGGAAGUGACUCCAAAGUAUUUUUCACCUAAAAUUUAUACAAUAUUGUGAAACAUCCUGGGUUUUUACCUUUAGAAAAUUUCCUGGAAAUUCAUUCUUCGGACCUAAUAUGACUCAUGGGUUUGAGCCGUAUGUUGGGGUAUGAGUGGUAUAGUCCUAUCGUAUGCUAACCAGUGUUAGUUGGUGGGAUGAUUUUGGUCACUGGAAUAGGUACGACUUAGGGGUAUGAGUUGUAAGGAUUGAUACAAUUCGUAUCAAGGAUUCGUAUGGUAGGUAGUAUUUGAUCCUCUUGGCAUUUCAUUCUUCCAGGGAGAUAGGUCAAAUGUAUGGAUCGUAUACUGUAGUGACAACUUGGUUGAAUGAGUCGUAUACUGGACAUUUUUUAAUCCUAGAGUUGAGGCUUAGACAUGAGUGGGGGAUAUUAAUCGUAUAGGAGGGUAUGACUCAUGAGUGUCAGUCGUAUUCCUGUGUUGGAAUUUUUGUGUAACUUAAGUGAAGGUGUUCUGGAUAUUUCCCUACUUACCCUAAUUUGGGCUCACGACUUCUAAUACACUAAGGAGGUUAUUUAUCCUAUUAUUAUAUACAUUAACACUUAGAAACUAUUCCAAAACAUCUUAUAAUUUUCUUAAGAGAUUUUGGGGCAAGAAGGCUAGGUUUCAUCUUACAAAUUACUUUGGGGCAUGCCUUAGUGUUUUGUUUCCAUCAAUUCUUCGGUAUAAGGCAUGAUUCUCUUCCCUCAUUGUAAUUUAGAACUAAAGGCAUGAUUUAUAUGAUUGAUUUCAUGGUUUUACUAUUUCAUGAUUAUGGUUUCUAAUUAUUAUUUGGGGGUUUUGAUAUUAACUGCUUGAUUAUGGUUUUCUAUGGUUUAAAUAUGCUUUUUAUAUGCAUUAAUGAUGGUUUUGAACAAUUAGAUUGCAUUGUAAUGGUUUAAUGGUUUUUGGAAUUGGGUUUGGUUUUAUUAUUCCCCCAAGAUGCUUGAUGAAAUGCUUGUAAAGAUAUGUUUAUUGUAUUGAGUUCUUUUAAUGGAACUCUUGCAUGUUUUAAACUGGAUAAAGGAGUUAUGCAUGGAUUAAAUGGUUUAAAAAGUCUAAAGGCUAAAUGAUUAUGCUUGUGGAGAACAUGGAAGUCUCCUAAGUGGAUUGAAUAUGUAAAUUAGAAGGGCACCUAAAGUCCCCUAACCUAAAUGGUUUGGCUAUGGAUAUUACUUGCAAGUAAUGGGAUGGUAUGACGAUAUCACUAAUAUUGGACUUGGUAAAUAAAUGAUAAAUGAAUUGUUUAGACAUGGUUUUAAUUGGGCAUUAAUGGUUGGAAAUGUAGCUAAGCCAUGGAAGAUGGUGGUCCCGGGGGGACCAAAAUUGGAAACUCAUAGUUACCGAUAUGAGGGAUCCUUGAUGACCACGUGUGAGUGUCACAUUUUAUAUUAGAGGGAUGCACUAGUCAUCCCAUGGGAUAUUUCAUGUUCAUGCGGCUACACGCACUGGGACCCUUUCAGUAGGGGAAGAUAAACCCAUAUCGCCCAUGGGUGGUUAGGACGACAAAGCUACAUAACCCAGGUAAAGGUUUUAAAUGUAUGGUAAAUCCGAUUCCCUUUCCCGGCACUUAGAUAUGUACAAUUGUAUGCAUUAUGGAUGGUUUUAAUUGGUUUUAUGACUGGAAUUAUUUUAUCCUUAUCUUAGGUUUCAUGCUAGCAGUCAUUCUCUAACCCCAUCUACUGGUUGUUGUAUACCUACACUAUGCAGGAAUCGACUAUUCUACCCCUCCUAUUUAGCACGUAGAUUUGGUAUCAGUAUUUGGACUAAAGUGGCGAGCUUUUAUCCUUUUGGGAAGGCAUCAUUUCAAGUUAUGGAUUUAUUUAGACAUUUUUCUUUUACUUUGGAUAUUUGUUUUGGCCAUGGUUGGGGGCAUGCCCCAAUCGGAUUUGUUUACUCUUUUGGAUAGAGGUUUUGUGGUACUUGUGGGGAUUGGUAUGGGCGGGAUCGGUAGAAGUGUCAGCCUUAGCAUUGGUAUUAAUAUUGAGGUUGGCAUCAUCGGACAUGAGUUUAUACUGUUCCAUCAUAUUAUAUUUUGGGAUUGAUUUUCAUAUUGUGUUUUGGUAUUCCCUUUUGGCUUACAGUUUAUGGUUUGGUUUAGUAUGGUUGGGCGGUUGUUGCGGUAUGGUUGGACUUGGUUGGGUCAGUCAUAAUUGUGACCCUAUCCCAGAGUCUUAAUGAGAACAAUAACACUAUCUUGUCAUAUGUUUGAAAUUCAUCCCAUCUAAGGCUAGACAUAGGUGGUUGGGUUGGGUAACGGGGGCGGUCUCCGAUCCUGGUUAGACUUGAGAUGCCCACUACGACAAGGCCCACGGUCGGUUCGGGUCCUGUUGUCUCCUCUAAAAAUGGAGGCUAUAACCCUAGAACAAUGUCUAAAAGUUGGAAAGUAUAAAAUAUAGAAUGAUUAGGGUUUAAUUCUUCCUUUUGUCAAAUUUGGGAUCAGCCGCGUGCAACAAUAUUUCUGCCCUUAGACUGUAUUUUUUUGCUAGACCGUGAUCGCAUAGGCUUUGCCGCAAUCGUGGCUACUACAACUGUGAUUAGCUCACCGACCAUGGUAGGUUGACCUUAUUGAUUGACCACGAUCGUAGUCCUCAGACCAUGAUUGCAGUAACUGAGGCCAUUCUGCUCCAAGUCUUUAGUUGCACCUUCUUGUUUGCUUUUGAUCUUUUUUAGCUCCAAUCCGCAUCUUUCCUUCUCAUAAAAAUGUGCCUACAAAAUGCAGAUAUUAGUGCAUUCAAUCAUAAUUAUGUCUCAUUUAUUCAUUCAAAACAUGGUAAUAUGUAUGAAUGUUGAGUGUAAAUGAGUGGUAAAAUCACCACUCAUCAGAUAUGACUUCAUAUACCAUACCGGGGGUUGAUCAGGAGGAAUUAAGACUGAGGUUGUUCGCUUUCUCACUUACAGGUGAAUCAUCUUUAUGGUUAGGGAAACUUCCAAGGGGAUCUAUCACUACGUGGAAAGAGUUGCACAGACAAUUCUAAAAUAGGUUCUUUCCUCCAUCUAGGGUGUUGCAUCUCAAAGGAGAGAUCUAUAAUUUCAGGCACUGUAGUCUGAGCCCAUGUAUGAGGCUCAGUUCAGGUUCAGAAGAAGCUAAGUAUAGUGCCCAACCAUCAGAUUUUAGGGACGAACUUAAUGGACUUAUUCUAUAGAGACCUGACCAUCAGUUCUAGAGUUGUGGUAGAUACUAUCUCUGGAAGAGCUUUUAUGAUAUUAUGUUUGGAGGUAGCUUCUAAUAUUCUCGACUAAAUCUCUCUCACUAAUCCAGGGUGGUAAACUUGGGAGCCAAAGAGAGGUUUUGGCACUUACGCUAUCAGAGUUAUUAGUGACCAGAGAGUAGCAGAUGAAUCUAUAGCGCAAGAGAUUGCAAUGCUAAAGACUGAUAUGGGUGUACUGGCAAAGUAGUUUGUAACCGUUAAUUCCAAAAAAGUUCAUAUAGUAGGAGCAUAGGGUACAACUUUUAGAGAUUAUGAGUCUAGAUUAUAAGAGGAGGCUAGAUAUUUGGAUCGUCGGUUAGAGGGUUUCCAAGCCCAAGAGCAAGGAAACCAAGGUCGGGACUGCUAUGAUGAUAUAUAUAGAGACAACAAUAGGGAUAAAGAUGGUGAAUGGAUACAGAGAGAUAAUUAUAGAGAAAAAAAAGACAGGUACAUUCCGCCUGGCAGACAAGAUAUGUAAUCAAGAAUGGAAGAACUACGGAUCAAACUGGUGAAAGGUCAAGAAAAUUAGGAGAACAACCUUAAGGAAAUUAAGGCUGAAAUUCAGUGUUGACCCAGAAGGUGGAGUCUCAUGCCAUUGCUAGUAAGGAGUUGGAGUAACAGUUUGGGAAAAUAUCUGCUAUGAUCAAACAGAAAUAGUUUGUUACUCUUUCGAGUGAAAAAUUUCAGAGUCCACUAGCUAUAAGUCAUUGUCUAGCUAUCACCACUAGUUGUGAUUCCACUACUGAUGAUCCCCCUGUACCUGUUAUUAAAGAGUUAAAGAUUGAUAGCACUGAAAGCAAUGAGAUACCUGAGGCAGUGUCUAAGAAGUCGACAUAUGGUGAUGAUGAUUUUGAGUAUAAUAGUGGUGAGGAUUGGGUCGGCAAGCCUAAUGAUUAUGUGCACCCUUAUAGUGUGACCCCUUCCUUACCGUUAGUAUAAAAGAAGGAGGAUCCCAAAGCAGUCAUCAUUUCAUGUUCUAUUGGUCCUUUUAGUAUCAAGCAGACUUUAUGUGACUUGGGUUCAUGAGUAAAUAUAAUGCCACAGAGUGUGUACAAGCUAUUGAGGAUGGGGGAACUAAAACCUAUGUCCAUAAAAUUAUUGAUGGUUGACUCAUCUAUGAAGAAACCGAUGGGUGUUUAGUGUGAUGUAGAAGUAAGGAUUGCAUCCCUUAUGUUCCCUGCUGAUUUCAUGGUUCUUGAUUGUGAGGUGAAUUCUCAAGCCCUUAUUAUAUUGAGUAGACCCUUUCUAUCCACUGGUAGGGUAUUGAUUGAUAUGGACUUGGGGUAAAACACCUUCAAAUAGAAUGAUGAGCAAGCAGUAUUUGAUGUAUGUAUGGUUGUGUAGCAGUAAGAUGAUAUUCGAGUGGUGUCUGUAAUAGAUACUAUUGAUGAGAAUAGUGCUAUAGAGGCUAUUGUACCUAAUACACUAGGUUUUGAUAAGCGACAUAGGGAAGAUAGGUUUGUAGAGGUUGAGUCAGUGAAGUUAGAAGAUAUUAGGGAGAAAGUGGACCUACUUAGAGCAGAGGUGUGCUCUCUCAAUGAGAGCCACAUAUUAGCUAUCCCUCCAAUUGUAUCCCCAAGUAUUCAUCCAUUACUUUUCUGUGUUCCCAGACACGUUGAUUUAUCUACAAAGAAUGAUAUGGUGGUCCCCGUAGCUAGGACCAAGAGAGGACAAGUGAGGGAAUUACAGAAUCCAAAUAGGCAAUACGAGCAAGCCUUGGAAAGGGACAUCCAUGAUUCGAUAGAGAAUAUAUUUAUUGAUAGGCAGAGGCUUGCCGAGCUAGCUGCAGGUGCAUCUUCUUAGAGUGAACUGCCAUCACCAUGGCCUCCGUCUGUUGAUAUACCCCCAUCUGGGGAAGAUCAUGACACGUACGCUUAGUGCGUCCCAGGUAUGUUCUCACUUCCCUCUAUUUUAUUUUGAUGCAUUAAGGACAAUAUGCAGUUUUUAGUUGGGGGUGGGCAUACCAUGCCACCACGGGUUUUUGUUGUCAUGCUUCUUUUCUUGAUAGCACGGUAUGAUUGUAGAACUAACAUGUCUAGGUUAAUUUUGUGUCAUAUUGUAUUUUAUUUCGUAUUGUGUUGUUUUUGUGUAAUUAGAAGAUUUUUAAGCAUUUAUAGCAGUAGUCACAUUUUGAUUGAUUUUUGAUACCCCUUCAAAAUUUUAUGUUUUAGAAUCGUGUGGAUGUAUAUAUUUGUGAACAUUGUGGAUCUUGUUAUGGCAUUAGAAUUAGGAACAUGAUAAUCACUUGCUAAAGAUUACAUGAACUAAAUAGGUAGUAGUGGGUAAUAUUGACUUUGUGUCAUGUGUGUGUGAAAUACUACCUAGUUCUCUUUAUGUGUUAAAUUCAGAAUUGUCUGGUUAGUUUUGCCUAGGUUGAAGGAUAGUCGGUUAGGAAAGGAUCAUAGACCGUUUUAUAUUUCAGUCCACUUUUAACCUAAAUGACCUUCUAUGUGUGCAUUAUAUCCAUUGGUCCCUAUUUUGAGACUUAUAGCCUAUUUUUCUUGUUUUACCUAUUCACCUUUCCAUUUGUAUUAUAAUGAACCAGUUUUGGCCCUGAUCCUCCUUGGACAUUGUGCACCUUAACUCACGCAAAAAGCCUAAGUUAAGGGCGGCUAUCAUAGGGGUACGUAGUGUAAAAUGGGUAUGAGGAAGGGUAACAUAAGAGAAAAAUUUAGUAGGGUUGGGUGUGGUAGUAAAAGAAAAGAAAAAAAUUGUGAAAAAGAAAGAAUAAAAGACCACACCCAACCUGAAUGUACAAUAAAAGAAUAAAAAAGAGAAAUAAGGAUGGAAUAAAAAGGUAAUUGGCCAUUAAGUGAGACCCCAAACCUACAUUACAAGCUGAGAAAAGACCUAUAGUGAUCCUAACUUGACUAUCUGAAUGUUAAGGUAAAGAAAAUAAGGGCAAGCCUAUGGUAUUUGACAUGCAUUGAUUGGAACUUCUCUUUUGAGUGUGAGUGUAUCUUGACCGUCCCUGCAUUGAUAUACAUUAUUUCAUAUGAGUGAGUGAGACAUCUUUUUUGUGAGGGCUAUUAAGUCAUGUUGCUAGCUAUUUGCCUGUUUCGGAUAGUAUAAUUUGUACAUAUGAGUGGUUGUCUGUAGCUAAUAUAAUUGCCAUACCUUGAUCCCAUUGUGUCAUAUUGUAAUGCUUCAUGUUCAUACACAGUUGGCUUUGAAAAAGAGACAUAGGAGGGGAUAUUUUGAUUUGAACUUAAUACGAUGACUGCCUGCCUUGAGUAUCUUAGAUUCUCCUAGUUAAGCGUCAUUUUUGUUUUGUUGUCGUUUUGUUGUCUGAGGACAUGCAAAUGUUCUAAGUUGAGGGUGUUGAUGUGCUAUAGAAAUGUAGCACUUUUAACGCUUAAAAUAAGGAAAAUAUGCAAGUUUCUGAAGCUUUUUUGUUAGAUUUGAUCUAUUUUGGGUAUAUUUUGCAGAAAAUGAGGUUUUGGAUGAUACGUUUGGGAAAAUGGUGAAAAAAGGUAGUUUUGGCUACUUUUGGAGUGAUUAUUGAUAUGUGGGAUGUUUUCCAGCUUGAUCGUGAUCAAAGAAUGUUCGAGAAUUGAAGAAGAGCUGAAAAACUAAUUCCCGACACCUACUAAGUUAGCUCACGGACAGCAGGUACACAAAGUGGGUACCAGAAGUCCAAAAUCCCGAGAGCUGAGCAUUAUAGGAUUUUUACUCCUGCUAACUGCACCCUGUGCCUAGGCCGCAGGUAGUACCUGCGCGCUGCCAGACCACAGGUGCAGGAAGCAGGUGGCCACCGACCUUGUUUUCUCCUAUUUUGUCCGGACUUAGCUUUUAGGGUUUUCUCUUGCACUAUAAAUACCCCUUAUGUACUUUUGAGUAGAGGUAAGGCUUUUAACACACAUAAAUAUAUUUUAAUUUCAAGAUCCAUCUUUGAUCUUGGGAUUUCAUUGUAUUGACUUUGAUUGAUUAUUAGUUUACUAUUGUGGGUUUUUCUUCAUCUUAUCAUUGUGAUUUCAUAUUUGUUUUCCAACAUGAAUAUUAUUGAUUUAUUCACAAGUAUGAGAGGCUAAAACCCAUAUCUAGGGUUAUGCAAACCCUCGUUGACUGAUGAAGUAGGUAAGUGUGAUUGUUGAAUUAAACCAAUACCCAUGGCAUGCAUUGUAUUAUCGUCAUUAUAAUAGUUGUCUUAGCGGUUUCAAACAUUAGGAUCCCACCUAGAUUGCUACUUACUCCAAAAAAGAAUUAGUGACUAGGAAAAGAUAAUGACAACAGUAAUUUAGGAGUUAAUAGUCGAUCCGCAGUACAAAGGUAUAUCUGAAUGAUUAUUAUCUUUCAUCUAAUAACUUGAAACUCAAAAGGUGAGAUUUAACUGGGAUUAGGGUAAGGGUUAGUAAUGCGAUAUCCUGAGACUCAAAAGGUAAAGGGUGAAAUCCUCCUACUCAUCCAAAAAGCUGUAGGAGGUACAUAACUUAUCGAUUCAGUAUGUAAGGUAUUGGGUUGGUUCAAUAAUGCACGAUAAACCUAAGGAGUUGAGAUGCCAGAGGAAACACAAUCCUAGUGUCCACCCAUAACUGAUUUCAACCAGAGUUAAUAUUGCAACUUGCUCAAGACUAAUACAAACAAAUCCCCUUAUUUACUUUCCAGUACUGUAGACUACAACGGCUGAUAACUACAAACUACACAUUCCUUUGGGAUUCGACCCCAACCUUAGUUGGGUUACUAUAUCUUGAUAGUGACCAUACCAUUAUCCAAAAGGAGAUGUUGCUUGGAAGUCAUCAGUAUUGUCCCUUCAAGAGGCAAAACUGUAAGGCUACUGAUGUCUUCCAAAGUUAGGGUGAUUUCAAAAUCCACAAACUAAAAUAUCACGGUGAUUGGAUCCCAAAAUCCAACCUAUAUCUUCAUGAGCAUUGGCUCAAAUACCCAUGAGUGAGACCAAAGAGCCUAAGUGUUCUCUUACUUCAGCUCCAUGCACGGCCCGGAUAAUUUGCCACUAGUUUUGUAGGAUUUAGAGGGCUGAGACAAUCAUUUGGAUGUUUGGUAGGGUUUGGUUGGUAUCUAUCUGAAUGAAAGGAUAAAGGAUAUGAUAAGUCGUUUAUCUCAAAUAUAUUGUGUGUUUUGAUUUGGACCAUUCACAGCAAUCUUCACACAAAAAUAUGUCAACAGGUUUGCAACAUUUGAAAAAAAAGGUGGUUUCCUAAUUGCGAUGACAAUGCCUUAGACCGUCCCGCCUAAGGUGUGUGCAAUACGACCUAUUUCUAGAGUAGGAUUUUUCUCUAAACAUUUGGGAGUAGUACUGAAUAGCUGCGAGAAAAUGCACUAACCUAAUUGCACGACUCUGAAACUAAAGAAUCAAAAAAAGGUUCGAAUGAGUGUAAAACACCCUCUCAUGAACCACAGUGUGUGAAUUGUGUACGGUCAAAGACUCGAUAGGAAAAUACAAGUGAUAAAGCAGUAACAAGUAGUGUUUUCAAGAAAAUAGGGAACACAAGUUUGGACUUGGCUUGCGUCCUUUCACACAAAUCAAGCUAUAAGUACAUGUAAAGCAAAUAACGCAAUAAAAGCAUGAUAAUCCUAAACUAAGCAUGCUAAGAUAAAAACCUAAGUUCAACAUUCUCUAGCAGAGUCGCCAUGUUGUCGCGCGUUAUUUCGAACCAGUCAAAACAACACACAACAUAUAGUGUCUUGUUAUGACUCUCGGGUUUUUGAAAAUCAUUUUUAGAGUCGCCACCUAACUUUUUAGGAAAAUUAGGAAAAAUCAUUUUUUAUGUAAAACUCUGUUUAGGUCUAUCGAAAAUAUUUUGAGAUUCUGAGUAAGGAUUUUGGUUACUCGAGAGGAAGGUGUUAGGCACUCAUUAGAAUCUAGCCGAAGAUAGUACUUUAACACAGUUUAGGAAAAAAUUACUGCUUCGUUAUUUGCUAAAAUAGUGAUGAGAAAUCCUUUAUUAUAUAUAUUUUUUUAUUAUUAUUUAAAGAAAGGAAACUUAAGGUAUAGUAAACGUGAUGCUACCAUGUACAAGACUGUAAUAUAAUUAUUGUAGAAAUAUACAUGUAUUUUAAAUAUGAAAAAGGGUGGUAAUAUAAUUUACACAUAUGUUAGAAAGUGCAAAGUCUUAUAAUUCUGUAAGGAAACUUAAAGAUAUGUGAAGUUAAGUAUAUAACUAAAAUUAUUAUAGAGUAAAUAAAGGUAUUCUUAUGACAUGAGAAUUUAUUUACGAAAAGUAUGUUUAAGAGUAAGUGAAAAAUAUGUGAAAGAUUUUGAUUAUAUUUGUUAGCCAAGAGUCAAAAUAGCACACAUUAUUUAAUUGAAGAUUAAAAAUAGUUAGAUGAGAACUAUUGAAAUUUUACCAAAAUUUUGUUAUCAUAAAAUAGUAGUUGUAGGUUACGUCAAAAUAUUUUCUCUAGGCUUUAUGAUUAGAGUCACAGUAGAGUUUAAAUAACAAUAGCACAUCUUAGUUGAGACUUUGCUGGUGGCUGUUUUAUAAGUACAACUUCUCAUGCCAUGUUUAUCCUACUAUGUUGCUCGGACUCAUCAAAAGCAUAAGAAUGUGCCAGAUUCUUUAAAAGUUGUGCAUUUUUAUAAAUAUAUUGGAAUUAGGUAAAAAAUAAGUAAUAAAUAAAUGUAAUAACAUGUGAAGGAGUUGUUUAAAUCAUAAUAAUAAUAAUAAUAAUAAUAAUAAUAAUAAUAAUAAUAAUGGUAUAAAUAAUAAUAAUGAUGAUAAUAAUAGUAACGUUGGUAAUAAUAAUGAGCAAUAAUAAUGAUGAAAAUAAUUAUUAUAGUAGUAUCGAAAAUAAUAUACUUUGUACGUAGUAGCGGAUGAACGUAUAUAUCUCGCAUUUCUAAUCCUUUGAAAUCUGAAAACUCGGAUGGGAGUUGAAAAAUAAAAUAUAGUGUAAAGCGUCAAAAUUAUUUAUUAAAAAUAAGUUAAAAUUAGCAAAUGGACUCUUUUGAGAAAUCUAAUUUUUAGAGAAAUUGUUCUCCCGCGAAUUAGUAUUUAAAGUUUUAUUUGUUAUAUUUAGAAAAACAUGGAGAUUACUACGUCCAUUUUAUUAACAAAUCAUUCUGUAAGGUAAAAAUCAACUAGAACACUUGGCCUAAUCUUAAGAAAAAUUUGCUGGAAAAUCCCCUUCACUAAUUAAUCAAGAGAAAACAUGAUAACGCUACCCUAUUUUAAAAGAUAGGCACAUAACAAAGCAAUUAUAAAGCAAUAAACUAAUAAAGCUAUCUUAGACAAACUCAAUAACAAAAUAGAGUUAGUUAUCAUUCUAAAGCAAAAGCGUAACAUAAUAUGAAUAAAUUAAAGGAAAAAGCGGCUAAGAAAUACUAGACUCCAUUUUGGAGUUUGAACUUCUAAUUUUGCGAUUCCGGGACUCUGCGAUCCUAUAAUGGUUGAUCCGAUGCAUGGAUAAAGACGAGUUUCGAAUGAAACUCCAACUCCCGAAUUCACAUGAAAUAAAGAAAAUAAUAAGGAUUAGUAACAAAUUGAAAAUGACGAAAUAAUGUGUACUAUCAACUAAGAAAACAUGGCAAUCAAGAGUACGUUUCUGAAAAGAAUUAAAUAAAAGAUUAAGCUAAGCUAGUAAUCUAGUACUUCUACAAUUAUUUCUCGGGACAAAUGACCCAAAAUAGUUUGGUAAAGUUUAUCUAAACUCAAUAGAGAUGAACAUCUGCGGAUCAACAACCAUAGCUAAUUUAAACAUGUUUAACAGCCAAGGUCACUGGGAAACAAUUUCGAGACAACUUAAUUAGUGAGAACUUUGGCAUGAAAACACAUAAUCAAUCGUUUAUAUAUAAAAGAGAAGAGCUCAUUUCUUCAAAACGCCUAUAAACACCCCCAAAAAUUAGAUUCUUAAUCAUUACAAAAUACACCCCGCACCCCCCAUUAUUAAAAUUGAACGAUUUCAACAAAGCUAUACUCAUGUUGGCAACUAAAAAAACUGCAUGAUAUUAAACAAACUUUAUCCAAUGUUUGGAAUGGAAAGUGACUUCAUUACACUGACCUAAGCAUACAAAUGCACGUAAAACUUCCUUUUACUUUAAAUAAUAAUGCAUACGUUGCCAAUUCCGAAUUACUAAAAACUAUUAUUUUAAUAAGACGUGGAAUGUAGCAGUGUCUAAUUUGUAUAAAAAAAACAUGUACAAUAUAAAAAUUUAAGAAAACUUGUGAUUAGAUAACAAGGGUUAAAAGAAACUACUCUUGCAAAAGGGUCAACACAGAGACAGCGAGAAAGAGCAUCCCCUUUAUUCUUAAAAUAUGUUAUGCCUAACACCGAAAAAUGGCGAGAAACAAAAAUGACAAGAAUUCUUUUAAGGGAGUUUUCAAAUUAGAAAAACGAACACAACAGAGAGCUAUUUUCAAAUCAAACUUUUAACAUUUCGCACAAAUGGAGAGUUCUUUUCAUAUCUUGUGCAACUUAAGCUUAAAACGACCACACAUUGAAACAGGUUGGGAUGAAAAUCAUAUUUUCUGAACUCGGCUCGUGAUGACCAAACAUCAGUUCAUCAUUACGGCUUGAAAUUAGAAUCAUAUAUUUACGAAAUUAACAUGGCCAAGAGGAGGAGACAGAUGCGAAAGGGCUGAUUUUUCAUCCCUCAUAGAUAUUAUGAACAACUAUAUCAUAAUCCAAAUAGGAAACCAAGGAAAUCAAAUAUUUACUCAUAAAUUGAUUUUCCAGAUUUAAAGGCAAUAUAAUUGAAUCAAAAUCACAUGUAAACUCACUUUUUAGAACCAACAACAACAUACCCAGUGUAUUCCCACCUAGUGGGGACUGGGGAAGGUAGAAUGUACGCAGACCAUACCACUACCUCAAGAGAAGUAGAGAGGUUGUUUUCGAUAGACCCCCAGCUUAGGACCAAUAAUAGUAUAAUAAAUACAAAAAGUAAGCGGAUACAAACUAGUAUGGUACACAAAAUAAACUAACAGUAUAACAAACACAAAAGAUAAGUGCAUAGUAAACUAGUACGGGAUGCAAAAAAGCCAACACCACUAACCCCAAAAACUACAGCCCCAUCACUACGAACCAGAAACUCCAGACCCAAAGGAGCACUCCCCUAUUACUACCACCGCGCUCCCACCCCCUAACCCUCUACCCUAAUCCGCGUCCUCCACACCUUCCUAUCAAGGGUCAUGUCCUCUGUAAGCUAUAAUUGCUCCAUAUCAUGCCUAAUGACCUUCCUCCAAUAUUUUUUCAAUCUACCUCUAGCCCGCCUAAAACCAUCUAUAGCCAGAGUCUCACACCUCUGCACUAGAGCAUCAGGGCCCCUCCUCAUCAUAUGCCCGAACCAACGUAGCCUCACUUCUCGUAACUUAUCCUCCACCAAGGCAACUCCCACCUUCUCCCGAAUAAUCCCAUUCCUCACCCUAUCUUUCCUGGUAUGUCCACACAUCUAUCGCAACAUUCGCAUCUCCGCCACCUUCACCUUUUGGAUGUGGGAGUUCUUAACUGGCCAACACUCCGCUCCAUACAGCAUAGCCAUCCGGACUACCACUCUGUAGAACUUACCUUUAAGUUUCAGGGGCACUUUCUUAUAAAAAAGGACUCCCAAAGAGAGCCUCCACUUCAACCACCCUGCCCCAAUACGAUGCAUGAAAUCCUCGUCAAUCUCAGCAUUACCCUGAAUUAUAGACCCAAAACUCUCCCUCUUCUGGAUUGCCUGAGAGUCUAGCUUGACAACCACUCCAUCUUCUUGCGACAUAUUACUGAACUUACACUCCAAGUACUCCGUCUUUAUUCUACUUAACCGAAAACCUUUAGAUUCAAGCGUCUUGUCUCCAAACCUCCAACUUAUCAUUAACUUCACCCCGAGUCUCAUCGAUCAGAACCAUAUCAUCUGCAAAUAACAUACACCAAGGCACCUCUCCUUGAAUAUAUCGCGACAAAACAUCCAUCACCAAGGCAAAUAAAAAUGGGCUAAGAGUCGAUCCUUGGUGCAACCCUAUCAAAACUGUGAAGUGCUCUGAAUCUUUACCUACCAUCCUCACACGAGUUUUCGCACCAUCAUAUAUAUCCUGAAUCGACCUAAUGUACACCACGGGCACCCCUCUAUCCUCCAAGAACCUCCACAGAAUCUCCUUGGGAACUCUGUCAUAUGCCUUCUCUAGAUCAAUAAACACCAUGUGCAAGUCCUUCUUCCUUUCUCAAAAUUGCUCCAUUAAUCUCCUCACAGGGUGAAUGGCCUCAGUGGUCGAGCGACCAGGCAUGAAACCAAACUGAUUCUCAAAGAUAGUCACGAUCCUCCCCAUCCUCAACUCUACCACCCUUUUCCAAACCUUCAUAGUAUGACUCAACAACUUAAUACCUCUAUAGUUGUUACAACUCUGAAUGUCUCUCUUGUUCUUAUACACUGGAAUCAUCGUUCUCCACCUUCAUGCUUCAGGCAUCUUAGCAGCUCUAAAAAUAAUACUAAACAGCCUUGUCAACCACUCCAGACCUGCCCCACUAGUGCUCUUCCAAAAGUCUACUGGAAUCUCGUCUGGCCCCAUCGCCCUACCCUGCCGCAUCCUGCGAAUAGCUCCUUUGACCUCCUCAACCUCGAUACGCCUAUAAUAACUAUAAUCGCGACCCUCCUCAGAUAUCUCCAAGUCUCCCAACACAGAACUUUUGUCCCCCUCGUCAUUCAAAAUUUUAUGAAAAUAGGACUGCCACCUCUCCCUAAUAAGGGCAUCCUCAACCAACACUAUACCAUCCUCUCCUUUGAUGCACUUCACUUGGUCAAGGUCAUGAGCCCUCCUCUCUCUGGCCUUAUCCAUCCUAUACAACUUCUUAUCUCCGUCUUUCUCCUCUAAAGCCACAUACAAACUCUCAAAAGCUAUUGUCUUAGCCGCCGUAACCGCUAACUUAGCCUCUCUUCUAGCAACCUUAUACUCAUCCUUAUUCUUCUAUCUUUCCUCAUCAUUCUUGCUCCCAACCAACUUAGCAUAAGCCACUUUCUUAGACUUCACCUUUCUCUUGACCUCUUCAUUCCACCACCAGUCUCCUCGAUGUUUGCCAGAUCGACCUCUCAAGACACCCAAUACCUUACUAGCGGUCUCCCAAAUGCAACUAGAAGUCGUCUCCCUCAUAUUAUCCACCCCAUACUCUCCUAAGCCCCUCUAAUCUUCAACUUCUCUUCCAUCUCUAAAGCAUUAGCCAAAGUUAGGAUCCCCCACUUAAUCCUGGGUUGCGCCUCCCUACUUUUCUUUUUUUUGCCCUUAUUGAUAACCAAGUCCAUAACCAACAACCUAUGUUGAGUCGAGAGAUUCUCGCUAGGUAUGACUUUACAGUCUUUACAUAAUGCCCUAUCCCCUUUUCUAAGAAGCAAAAAGUUUAUCUGAGUCUUGGCCACUGAACUAUGAAACGUAAUAAGAUGAUCCUCCUUCUUUGAAAAGCUUGAAUUUUCUAUCCACAACCCAAAAGCCCUAGAAAAAUCCAUCAGAGAAGUUCCUCCUUCAUUCCACUCACCAAAACUGAAACUGCCAUGUACAUCAUCAUACCCUCUUGACAAAGACCCAAUAUGCCCAUUAAAAUACCCUCCCACAAAAAGCUUCUCAGUGCUCGGGAUGUUCCUGACCACCUCAUCUAAAACCUACAAGAAUUCCUUCUUCUCCUCUUCGUCCAAACCUACUUGCGGGGCAUAGGCACUAAUAACAUUUACCAUAGACCCUCCCAUGACUAACUUAAUAGACAUCAGUCUAUCACUAACUCUUUUUACCUCUACCACCUGCUCCCUAAGAUCUUUAUCUACUAAGAUACCUACCCCAUUUCUAUGUCGCACGCUACCCGAGUACCACAACGUAUAUCCAUCCACAUCUCUCACUUUAGUGCCUACCUAUUUAGUUUCCUGCACACACGCUACACUAACCCUCCUCUUUCUAAGAAUCUUCACCAGCUCUAUAGACUUAUCCUACAAAGUACCAAUGUUCCAAGACCUAACUCGCAACCUAGAAGCUCUCUUAUCCUGCCUAACCUUACUACCACUAGCCCCUAACCCCAAACCCGAUCCUAGACCUGACCCAAACCCAACCCCUCCAAAGCCCAGCCCAGACCCAACAAUUUCUGACUCCGACCCCGACCGAUGACAUGCCCUUAGUCUACCCUUACCAAUCAUAGUCACUAUGCAACAAAGAGAAGAAAAGAAAAAGGGAAAAAAGAUAACAAAGGGGGAUACACAAAUUUUGGUACACAAUAGUCAAUAGCAGGGACUAAUACUACCACACUUAAUGGAUAUGCUAGUAAAUCAAGUAACAGUAAUCAGACCAGGUAACACACUCCAACACUACUAAGCACAAUAAAUAGAUUCACAUGUACAACACUAUUACAAAGUAACCAGUCAAUAAGAAAUUUGACACCCACAACCAGAUAAUCAGCCAAGAAGCUACGAAAUAGGAAUCACAACAAGAAUAGUGCAGAACACUACCAGUAACAGCCCCUAAAAAUCAAGAAAGCUAUACACAACUAGAAAAGAUGGAUCGAGUGCACCUGAUCGAAGCUGGGUUGUGUCCUUAUACUUGGUUGAGUCGCUGGAUUCUGACAAUUUGCGGUAGAAAUUGGUCUCUGGAAUAGUGUCACCAAAAUAGUGUUAUCGGGAACAGCGUUGGCACUCCUUGAAGGUUGUUAUGGUGAUUAUUUGGAUGACAAAAGUAUUGAGGGAGGCGGCGGCGGCUUGUUGGAGUUACUAUUAUUGGAGGCGACGGAGGCUGGUGGCUGAGAUGCGGCAACGAUGGCGAGGACCAGCGACGGUAGCUGGAUCACUUCUUGUUGUGGUGGCGAUGGUGAGGAGGUGAAGCUUUGGACAGAGAUUCGAUAGAUGGAGCAUCGCCAGAGAGAGGAGGAAGGAGUAGAGGGUGGUGCUUGGUUUGUGGUUACUGACUAAUUUUGCCAGAAAUGAAAGGGACGGCGGCUGGUUCAACGAAGGCGGCGAUGGAGUUCUUCGAUCAAAAUAUGGUCAGAGAUGGCAGUGAUGGAUGUAUGCGAUGGAGGGGCGGUGCCGAUUUGCUGAUUGGGUGGGGGUGGCGGCGGCGAUAGGUUCGCCAGAGAGAGGAGAGAAGGCUAGUUUAGCGGCGGUCCUUGGACAACGAUGGUUUUGCGACUAACAAUAAAGAGAGAGAGAGAGACAAGGUGGGUGAGGGCCAGCCAUCGAAGAAGGCAGGCCGUUUUCCCUUUUGUCUUUAUAGAGAGAGGUUUAGAGAAAGGGGAGAGAGAAUCUAGAAAUUUCUAAAUUUCUAAAUCUAGAGGGGAGAGAGAAUCUAAUUGUGUCAAAACAUUAAAUGAAUUUAUUUUUUUCUUAGAGUUAACAACAAACCCUUAAAUUUAAUUGAACAAAAGUGACUUAUUCAUAUACUUACAGACCCGCGUAUACACAAAAUAAACUUUUAUAUCCAAGUCAUGCGCAUUGAUGAAAUUCUCGAAGGACCACAACAACCAAAUAAGAUAAACACGUGUAUAAAUUUAUGUAUUCAACACCAAAUGAUUUUUUAGAUUCGCAAACCACAACUUUUACUUGUAAGUCCAAGAUAGCAAUAACAACAUAGCUCAAAAUCAAGAUAAAUCUUAUAUUCAACAAAAUUGAAAAUAGAUGAAGAAAAGCAAGGCAAAAACAAAAUGAGAAGGGGGUCGGUUCGCACCUUCUUUGGUGCAGCAAACGAGGGUUCCAGUGCAAGGACUCUCCAGCUACCAGCUCAAACUCACAACGAGGAAAAUAAAUAAAACAACAGAGGAAAAUAAGAAAUUGACUUUGAUAACUUGAGUAUUUUUUAAUAUCUUUGGGUCUAUCUUUUUAACGUUUUCCUGUUCCACUUCUCUUCCUUCUUUAAACAAACUUUAUUUUUUUCUCUCCUUAUUCCACCGAUUUUGAAACCCUUUUUUGUUUUUUUUCUUCCUUUUUCAUGGAUUAUUUUGCAUCCUUUUUUUCUCACUCUUUUCUCAAUUUCAAGAUCUUUCUCGCCUCUUUUCCACCUUUCUUUUUUCUUUUCAAAACCUGUCCCUGAUGGGGAUGGCAAUACCCAUAUUUAUAGGUGCAAAUCUAGACUUGAAAGUCCAAAUUUGAAACCUUAGAAUUGAAUAAAAUGAAAAUAAAGGGUAAAAAUUUAUAAUUCUGAGACGAAUUCCUCAGAAUAUUAGCUUUUUUAGGCCAUUACUAGCGAAUAUGAAAUUGAGAAUAUAUUGUAAGACCAUUUUGGGUCUGUUUUUUCCUGGUUUCUUUGGUUUCAUGGGUUGGGUGAUGAGAAAAAUGGGAGAAUCUUGACAGGUGGGGUGCAGGUGGUGGCCAGCUAUGGUGGCAGCUAAGGUUAUGGCAUUUUUCGAUUCAAGGGGUGGUAGAUGAGGGGUGAGGGAGAGAGGAAGAGAGAGGGUCGGUGGUUUGAGUUGAUUUUAGGAUAUUGAUGGAGAUAGAAUACUGUUUUUUUAGGGAAAGUACUAUAUGCGUGUUCUAACUUUUUGGUGAGUGGGAGGAGCACUUAUCGUGCUGACUUGUUGGACUAAAAUGUGGAUUCUCAGAUCGUUUGAUCGGACGG